CUGGGCUCCAGCCUCAGUUUGCAUGUAGGUUACACUUUACCAAAAGUGCUGCAUACAAAUAGCAACCUUUAUAAAUGUUGCCAUUUGUAUGUUUGCAUGUCUUAAAUUUAAAAAAAUUACAUUAUCAAACAAGCUGUUAACGAUGUUUGCUAGUUACCUUUUCAAUGGUAACUGUGGUGGGAAUAGAAGGAACACAACCAAAAAAACCAAGAUGGCUGACGUGGUAGCAUGAAGGGCCUGGUGUGAAGACAGCCGGUUCAGCCCGGUUCUGCACAGAUGAGACGGAAGCCUCGUCAUGGAGUUUGGAGGAUGAGGAAGGGAUUGGCCGGGGUGCUCACGCUAACCUCCAAGGCUCAUGUUACCGUCAGUCAUCUUUCCAGGUGUUUCAGGACCACAUUCGUAUUGAAACAAAGGAUGAAGUAACUCUGCGGGCAAGGCUUUCCCCUAAACAGCUCCAGCAGAGAUGGGUGGUCAGAGCGCUCGGUUACAGCGGAGGAGCUAUCGUGAUCCUGUAUUCACGUUUCUCUGCCAGGCUUUGAAGUGGGUAAUGUGAUUUUGGUUGAAGCCCAAAGUCUUGAUGGUAAUUACAUUGCUCUCUCUGACUCUCAU
This 609-nucleotide long non-coding RNA is filed under the name Betta splendens (Siamese fighting fish). Its description in RNAcentral is "lncRNA (ENSBSLG00000016054.1)". Lineage: Eukaryota; Metazoa; Chordata; Actinopteri; Anabantiformes; Osphronemidae. The record is from RNAcentral.